UUUGGAAAUACACACAUUCCUGACUGAACUGUUCCUGUGGCAGCAUGUACGUUUCGAAAAGGGUUUGGUGUGAGGAGUGGGGUUUGGUGUGAGAAGAAGAGAUACUGCAGAUGAUCUUCUCCAACAAUACCACCGCCCGCCUGCCAGACCAUCUCACAAGACCUCCUCCCCUUCAUUACUUCCAUUAUAAGGGACUCCAUGACAUGACAUUACAUGGAGGCGAUCCACACCUUCUAUGCAGACUCUCCACUGGUGGAUUCUCUUCUGUUCUCCUUCCAUGUCUGCUCUCUCAGUAAGUUCAUAGUCUCAGUAUCAGCUCUCCCAGCAGUCUCCUACCUUAAAGCAUUUAUCACACCCUGCUGUGGACCAUGCUCCUUUCCACUGGCUUCCUUCGACUGGACCCACCAUCAAUCAAGGUUCAAGGAAGAUAUGCAUCAAGACUCCUGCACCCAGGUUGUGUAAUGAACUCCCUCUGGCUGCAGAUCAGCUGAGUCACUGGCUUCAAAUGAAGACUAAAGACCUACUUCUUCCCCAAGCACUUAAAGGAAUGCCAAUUUAAAAAGAAAAAAAAUCGCUUGACUUGUGUGUUUUCUUUUCUUGCUUUACGAACGAUCAGGGUUUUAGAUUGAUGGUACUCUUAGUCCCUGACAUAGUGAACAAGUAUGAAGAUGUUUCUGAUAGAGACACAAAACACUUCUAUAAGUCUCUCUGGAUAACGGCAUCUGCUAAAUGCUGUAAAUGCGAAUGUAAUUAAUGUGAGUUAAUUAUAGAAGCAUUGUUGUGAAUGAUCAGGACGAGGCGUGAGAAGCAGUGAAGGGGUAAUUCUGUCUCCUCAGAACUGAGUGCUGGAGUUAAAACAUGUGGAUCUGUGUCUUAUGCUUCAUCUUAUUGACAUCUUAAUUACUGAGUGGAGAAGGUGAGCGCAGAGCUGUUAUUCCUCACACCACCACGUCUUCUUUUUCUUCUUCUUCUUCUCUUCUCCUCCUCCUCCUCUUCCUGGUUGCUGUCUUUCCUUCUGAAUGCCACUUUUUAUCAUCAGAAAUUUCAUUCCUCAGGUGGAAGGUGAGCUCAGAAUAAACAGAUAGCCUGUUUGGCUAAUCAGAAUAUAUAAAGUGGAGGUCCUGUUUCUCAGUCAAUCUCCAUUUCUGUGAAAGAGCAUUGAUCAGUCACUGCAGUAGAGUUAACGCGUAUCAUAUUUCAAUGUUUCCAGCAUGUUAGCCAGGAAGUAAAGCCUCCAACAACAGGAUACAGCCAUGCCCAAGAGCAAACCCCACUGAUGCUUAUUACCUUAUAUACAUUUUGCUGCUACAUCUGUGAAAUGACAUUAAUAAUUAAAGCAGAAUGAUCAGUACUUUAAUCUUCCCUUUUAGCAGCUUUAAUCAGGAUGUAGUUAAAUCUCACCCCUGUUUUACACUCUGUGGUGCUGAUUGAAAAUUUAUCCUCGUCUCAAAUGCAGUGACUUUUAACCUCCCGUGCAAAAAUAAAUAAACACACAAUCGUACAAGCUUCAGUGUUGUCUAGUCUGCACUUUUGAUAGGCUGUCUGAAAAUGUUGAGUUUUCUAAUAAAAUGAGCAUGGAUAAAAUGUCCAUGCUGUUAGAGUUCAUUAGCGAGGCUAAGCUUAUCCUGUGCUUUAUUUAGUGAAGUGUUUAAUGAAUGCUAUGCUAACAGCAGGGGGUCAGUGUGGAGUGCAUUAACAUCUCUUCAACACUGUGUGUGUGUGUCUGUGAGGUAUGCAUUACACUGAGAGGGACUGAGAUGGAGCUUUUUAACUGAUUACUGCGUUGGCAAUUAGUGUUAGCCGCUGAUGCUAAAGAAGUAAAGGGCAAUAAAACCAUCUGUGUGCAGGAUUCCAUUAAGCCGAGUGCUACCACACACACACACACACACACACACACACACACACACACACACACACACACUCGGUUGUAGAUAAAUCAGUAGGCAUUAGGAGGAGGAGAGGAUGGUACUUUUCAAACAUGGCAGGUGGGUCAGAAGUGAAAAAUUCACAUCACAGGUCAAAUCUGACUUGUUUAGUUUGACUGUAGUUACAGACAUACUGUGCGCUGUUUAGCGCAGGACAUGAGCUACUGUUACCAACCUGAAGUGGAUUAUUUUCCUAUAACAGCGUAUAGGAAGUGUACUAUACCACAGCAAUCUGGUAAUGAUUACAAUUUUAUAUUUAUUAAAGAACCACAUCAUACAUAGUUACAUUUAACGUUGUGGAACCUUGAUGGAACAAGUUACUUCCUGUUUUCACUUACAGUCAGGUCCAGAAAUAUUUUAGCUUUCAUUGGGGUUGAAAUUAAAUAAUGGUUAUGGGAACAAAGUGCAGACUUUAACUUGAGGGAUUUACAUCCAUAUCGGGUGAAGGCAGUAGGAAUUACAGAACUCUUUAUAUACGCUUUCCUCCCUUUUUAAAGGACCAACAAUAACCAGAUGAACAGAAUUAUAAAUUAUAUUGUAAUUUUUAAAACUUGGUUGCAAGUCCUUUUGGCAAUUUUCUAAGGGAGGCAUGGUGGCUUAGUGGGUAGAACAUUAGUCUCGUACCUCCAGGGUUUGGCAUUUGAUUCCCGUCUCCUCUCUGAGUGUGUGGAGAUUGCAUGCUCUCCCCAUGCUUUUGGGGUUCCCUCCAGGUACUCCAGUUUCCUCCCCCAGUCCAAAGACAUGUGUUGUAGGCUGACUGGUAUUUCCAAAUUGUCCGGUGUGUAUGUGUGGUUGUGCCCUGUGAUGGAUUAGCACCCCAACCAGGGUGUCUCCCACCUCAUGCCCAAGUUCCUUGGUGUAUUCUAUUUAGUGCUACAGAAAAUAAAUGGACAAUUUCUAAUUGUUGAAAUGACUGUAAGGAAAUGAAACAAAUAUAUUUCAGAUUUUUGGUGUGACAUUAGCCUGGGGGCUGAGAGAGAUGAGUCUUUAAUCUCUGUAUAUAUUACUCUGUGUGUGUGUGUGUGUGUGUGUGUGUGUGUGUGUGUGUGUGUGUGUGUGUGUGUGAAGUCUGAAAUGAUCAAAGAUGAGCUGUGAGUUCAGAAUCUUUGUUUCUGUCAAUCUUUAUUUCUCUGGCUUUUAGACACACACACACACACACACACACACACACACACACACACACACACACACACACACACAGAGAGAGACUGUGUAGAUGGCAAAAGAGGACAUGAUGGAUUCUAAUAAUUAAUAACAAAUAAAAACAGAACUUUGUUCUAGAGUAGCAUAAAACGGGUAUAUUAACAUAUAUUAAGGCUGUGUGUUUAUUAAUAAUAAGUUUAUUGGGAUAAAUUCGCACUUUUAAUAUCUGUAUACGGUGUUGAUAUUUCUUUAAAGUUGCUUUAAGACAAUGUCUAUUGUAAAAAGUGCUAUACAAAUAAAAUUGAAUUGAAUUGAAUUUAAUUAAUAAAUAACUCAUACAUUCUUUACACACUAUUUACACACUCUUUAAACACUAUUUACACACAAUUUACACACUGUUUACAGACUCUUUACACUAUACACUCUUGACACACUCUUUACACACUCUUGACACACUAUUUACACACUCUUUACACAUGCUUUACACACUCUUGACACACUCUUGACAAACUCUUGACACACGCUUUACACACUGUUUACACACUCUUUACACACUGUUUACACACUCUUUACACACUCUUUACCUAGCUUUACACACUGUUUACACACUCUUGACACACUCUUUACAUACCCUUUACACACUGUUUACACACUCUUUACACACUGUUUAGACACUCUUGAUACACGCUUUACACAUUUACACACUCUUGACACACUCUUUACACACUGUUUACACACGCUUUACACACUGUUUACACACGCUUUACACACUGUUUACACACGCUUUACACACUGUUUGCACACUCUUUACA
Long non-coding RNA from Ictalurus punctatus (channel catfish), 3880 nucleotides. The record is from Ensembl. Lineage: Eukaryota; Metazoa; Chordata; Actinopteri; Siluriformes; Ictaluridae.